RNAcentral lists this ribosomal RNA (480 nucleotides) under uncultured bacterium. RNAcentral describes it as "bacterial SSU rRNA". It matches the Rfam family "Bacterial small subunit ribosomal RNA", at positions 30 to 506 of the family's 1533-position model. The record is from RNAcentral.
UUGAACGCUGGCGGCAUGCCUUACACAUGCAAGUCGAACGGUAACAGGUCUUCGGAUGCUGACGAGUGGCGAACGGGUGAGUAAUACAUCGGAACGUGCCCGAUCGUGGGGGAUAACGCAGCGAAAGCUGUGCUAAUACCGCAUACGAUCUACGGAUGAAAGCGGGGGAUCGCAAGACCUCGCGCGGACGGAGCGGCCGAUGGCAGAUUAGGUAGUUGGUGGGAUAAAAGCUUACCAAGCCGACGAUCUGUAGCUGGUCUGAGAGGACGACCAGCCACACUGGGACUGAGACACGGCCCAGACUCCUACGGGAGGCAGCAGGGGGGAAUUUUGGACAAUGGGGGCAACCCUGAUCCAGCAAUGCCGCGUGAGUGAAGAAGGCCUUCGGGUUGUAAAGCUCUUUUGUCAGGGAAGAAACGAUCUCCUCUAAUACAGGGGGUUAAUGACGGUACCUGAAGAAUAAGCACCGGCUAACUACGU